Molecule: ribosomal RNA, 472 nt
Filed under: uncultured bacterium
Lineage: Bacteria
Description: bacterial SSU rRNA
Rfam family: Bacterial small subunit ribosomal RNA
Source: RNAcentral
UAGGGAAUCUUCCGCAAUGGACGCAAGUCUGACGGAGCAACGCCGCGUGAGUGAAGAAGGUUUUCGGAUCGUAAAACUCUGUUGGUAGAGAAGAACGUUGGUGAGAGUGGAAAGCUCAUCAAGUGACGGUAACUACCCAGAAAGGGACGGCUAACUACGUGCCAGCAGCCGCGGUAAUACGUAGGUCCCGAGCGUUGUCCGGAUUUAUUGGGCGUAAAGCGAGCGCAGGUGGUUUAUUAAGUCUGGUGUAAAAGGCAGUGGCUCAACCAUUGUAUGCAUUGGAAACUGGUAGACUUGAGUGCAGGAGAGGAGAGUGGAAUUCCAUGUGUAGCGGUGAAAUGCGUAGAUAUAUGGAGGAACACCGGUGGCGAAAGCGGCUCUCUGGCCUGUAACUGACACUGAGGCUCGAAAGCGUGGGGAGCAAACAGGAUUAGAUACCCUCGUAGUCCCUGAGCGGGCUGGCAAGGCGCAU